GAAAUUAUAGCCUACAAAAAACGAUUAUAAAUCCUAUUUAUGAGUUCAACCAGUCAACACCACUCUGAUUGGCUGAAGCAGUACAUCAUCAUAACCCAACCAGUAAACGCCACUCUGAUUGGCCGAAACACCAUGCCGGGCUUUUGGUGCAAUUCAAACUUUUUCCCAGACAGAGAGACAGUCGCUUUUUCUUCUCUACUCGUGAACCAAAUGACCGCACGGCUCUGCCCAGCACGUCAAACUCGUGUUCAGAAGGUUCUCGACAUGCAGCAAGAGGUGGUUCCGGGAUGGCUAUCGCUCCAGGUCGAGGUCACGGCACAGUGGGGGCGCACUGGCAGAUCCAGGUCCAGUGAGGGCUCGAGACGCAGCAGCCGGUCCAGGUCACAGUAUUAUGGUGAUGUUUUGAGGCACACCAGCAUCUCCAGGCCUGACGGGUUACGCUGUAGCAAUCUGACCAGCCCCCCGUAUUACAGGCUAAGGCAUGAUGCAGUGACCGAUGGAAAGGCGCAAGGACACCAAGGACUGCGUCCACAAAGUCCUUAACAACUGUUCACUAACGGCCAGAUGGCAAAAUUGAAUAUGAAGAGGAAGGUGAUGGACAAGAAGCCUUUUGAGAAGACUCCUGUUUAUAAAGGUAAGCCCAUAUAAUGUUGAAAAAGGAAAGAAAGUCGGCCCCUUUCAAUCUUGAUUGGACAGAACAUUUACUAACUUGACGUAAAAAAAUGCAAUGCCAACUGUUUACCAUUUGCUCUGACAUUUUUUGUAUUAAUCCAAUAUGGUAGUGGAUGUAUUAGGCAACCCAUUUUUGCGUUCAAAUAUGGGGAUGGUGUAUUACAGCAGAUUACUUCAUAUCACUUGUCUUUUCUACUCGUGCAGAUGGAGUCAUGAAAUUGGAUUCAACAGCAACAGAGGGCUCAGUAAGGCUGUGUGCCUCUGAACACCUUAAACAUUCACCACAAAGACAGGGAGGUGGAGAUCACGGCACUGUUUCUCAGGACUGAAAAACUUCAAUCAGGGACAAAGGAGAAGGUGGUGAAAGACGGGUGUGGAGCAGAGGGAGCUGCGGAAGGAAGGAGGAGGUGUAGCCGAACCGUGCCGGACACCACGCUCUGAAACAGGGACAAACCCAGGAGGCACUGCACCGUUUUAGAGGAUCAGACAGAGACUGAAGUCAGCCAGGUUUCCUCCGGGUGCUACAGUUUCCCCGACCUCAAAAAACAUGCUGCUCAGGUUGGUCCACAGUGGUGGCGCAGCUAUGGACGAACACCUGAACACAAAAUCGGUGUACGGUACAACGACAAAUAAAGCACUUACUUACUUUAUUCCUCAAGCCAGUUAUCCAUAGCUUUGACUAGUUGUUUGCAGGUUGACCUGUUUUGUCAAUGUUUAAUAAAAAAUAAUUGAAUGGGGAUUGAAUUGUGAUUGUAUUUGUGACGCUUGUAUAGGAGUUCAGAAGUCAAUUUGCAUAAUGCAUUAUUUGUAUAAUUUUGCUCUAUCAGUACAAACCAUUUUGGAUUGUUUUGGCUUGAUA
This 1531-nucleotide long non-coding RNA is filed under the name Neogobius melanostomus (round goby). Its description in RNAcentral is "lncRNA (ENSNMLG00000016039.1)". Lineage: Eukaryota; Metazoa; Chordata; Actinopteri; Gobiiformes; Gobiidae. The record is from RNAcentral.